CCCUUAGAUGUUCGGGGCCGCACGCGCGCUACACUGAAGGAAUCAGCACGUCUUUCUCCUUGUCCGAAAGGACUGGGUAACCCGCUGAACCUCCUUCGUGCUAGGGAUUGGGGCUUGUAAUUCUUCCCCAUGAACGAGGAAUUCCCAGUAAGCGCGAGUCAUAAGCCCGCGUUGAUUACGUCCCUGCCCUUUGUACACACCGCCCGUCGCUACUACCGAUUGGAUGGUUUAGUGAGAUCCUCGGAUUGGUCCCGGAGCGGCCUCUGGUCGUGCCGGAGUGCCGAAAAGAAUGUCGAACUUGAUCAUCUAGAGGAAGUAAAAGUCGUAACA
Molecule: ribosomal RNA, 330 nt
Filed under: uncultured eukaryote
Lineage: Eukaryota
Description: partial 18S ribosomal RNA
Rfam family: Eukaryotic small subunit ribosomal RNA
Source: RNAcentral